AUGGACGCCGUGGCGACGGCAUCUCCCAAUGUUUACUCGCUAGACCUCGUGAGUUUCGGGCGCGGGGUCCUCGACCGUGGCCUCGUUUUCCUGAACGCCAGGAUCUUUCUCCCGGUCGACACGUUCGAGAUCCUCCGCAUCGAUAACUCUAUCGUUCAUAAGAGCGCCGGCGACAUCAGGGUGAUCGAUAGGAGCCACCUGCACCCCGGCCAGGUGGUCGGAUCGGCGUCCGACGUCGGCGGCCAGAUCGGCAUCGUCACCGGCGUUACCACCGUGCUCGACCUGGUGGACUUCGACAAGAGCGGCAUGGCGACCAAGGUCAUCAAGGGCGUGUCCCCGUCUAGCCUGCGGCGCGUAAGGAGCCUCAACCUUGGCGACUUCGUCGUGUCCGGGCUGUGGCUCGGCCGGGUCGUGGAGGUGUCAAUCGACGUCGAUGUGCUGUUCGAUGACGGAGCAGUCUGCAGGGUCAUCGACGCCGAGUCCAAGAAGCUGAAAAGAGUGGAUGACGACAUGGACAGCAACCGCAUGUAUCGCCAACAAAUGAAUAGUCACUUCUACCUGGGUGUCCACGUCACCGCACCAGACCCUUGUUCCCUCUUCAAGGCGGCAUUGUGGCUAAAUGGCUACUGGAAUCUUGACCGUAUAGGAGGCACCGUCAUCAAGGUGAAGACGUCUACCGUCCUCGUCUUCUGGGUUGCGUCGAUGCAUUGUGGCACAGACAAGGGGCUCAUCGAUGCAUCCGCUCCUCCAGCCUACCAGAAUGUCGAUGAUCUUACGUUCUUUUGUGCCGCAUCCAAUUGUUGUUGGGGGGCAGCUGAUGCCUGUUUUUUUCGUGAACCUAGUUCCACCAAAAUCGGCAAUGCUAAUGGGGAUGCAGCUUGUGCUCAUGAUCAAGACGAUGAGGAGGAGGAGGAGGUGGUGGAGGGGGAGGAUGUGAUUGAUGAUGAGUGUGAAGCACCAACUGCUCAUGUGUUAUCGUCCACGAGGCAGACGGAUGUGUGGUUUUAUCAGAAACAAUUGAGGAAGGUCUUCUUUCAGGGGCACAGACGGGCGCGACGCCCACAAGUCAGGAGGCAUGUUGAGGUGGAGUUUCCCAUGGUUGUUGCCAAGACCCACACCUCUGUCGACGUGUUGUGGCAGGACGGCACACGGCAACAAGGUAUACGUUCAACGACAGUCAUCCCCUUUGGCAUAGUAAAUGAGCAUGAGUUCUUCCCGGGGGAGCAAGUCGUUGGCAAUGUUCUUCCAAUUGAUGCUGCUGGCGAUCAUAGUAGCAUGGCAUCUACUAUUUUCAACAAUCACAUUGUUGAUGAUGGAAUUAGAUCCGCAAUGCGUGUGGGUGUCGUCAGGAGCAUGCAUUCCAAGGACCAGACGGUUCAACUAUCGUGGUUCAAGGCAUCGGUGCGCCCUGACAAGGCUAGGGAGGUCGAGUGCGACGAUACCGUGAGCGCGUAUGACCUGAAAAGGGACUAUGACCACUCUGCUUACUACGGAGAUAUUGUUAUUCGCCUCCUACCAUCAAGAUCACCCAAUGACAGAAGGGCACCUUUACGGGGCAACACCGAUCUUUCAUGGGCGGGACGUGUUAUUGACGUUUCUAGUGGGUACAUCCAAGUCAAGUGGGGUGAUGGUAACAUAUCAAUGGUAUUGCCCAAUGAGAUCUCUGUCGUCAGGGAGGAGCACUACAUGGAUCUGUUGACUGAAAUGGGCCACUGGGUGGAGGAAGAUGGCAUCGACGAUGCACCAGAAGAACCGGCUGCUGCGGUGAACAUGGACAAUGGCCUAUGUAAUCCAGCCAGCGAUAGCGACGUCGAAGGCGGCAACCAGCCAGCGACGAGGACGAGUCUUUUGAGCUUUGCAUUUCACUCUUUGCUCCAAUUGACCGGUGACAUGGUGGCUCGAGGCAAGGGGUACCUGAUGAACCGGCCGGUAACACGGUCGUCACCACCAAGCACGGAGUUAGGAGUGGCUGCUAAAGAUGAUAGCAAUGGUGCUGCUGCAACGGAGACCACCAAUGCUGCCGUGGCCAGGAAUGUUGUGGAGCUGAAUGGCAACGGCCACAAUUUUGCCGAGCGGACGAAGGCUGGAGGCGCUACCAAUUGUUGCAACAAAUCAUUGUGCUUUCCACGUUUUGAUGUACUGCAGAUUACCCCUCCGGAUCACCACUACCUUGACACUACGGAUGAGGGAAUGCAGGACGGUAGUCGUGGGAAGAAUUGGGCCAAAGCAGUGCAAAAGGAAUGGAGAAUUUUAGAGAAUGACUUACCAGAAACCAUCUAUGUGCGAGCGUUCGAGGACCGCAUGGAUCUGCUCCGGCUGGUGAUGGUCGGCGCGGGCGGGACGCCGUACAAUGACGGCCUAUUUUUCUUCGACUUGCAGCUGCCACUGUCCUACCCGAUUGCGCCACCACAAGUGUACUACCACUCCUUCGGUCUACGCCUCAAUCCCAACCUCUACGAGUUUGGUACCGUGUGUCUUAGCCUGCUGGGCACAUUCGACGGUGAGGGCACCGAGUUAUGGUCGCCGGCAACGUCGAGCCUCCUCCAAAUCGUUGUCUCCAUCCAGGGCCUCGUCCUCAACGCCCAACCAUACUACAACGAGGCCGGAUAUGAGACCUUAGUCGGCAAACCGGAGGGCCAUCGCAAUGCAUUGCCCUACAGUAAGAAUGCUUACCUGCUCACCCUUCGGACCAUGCUCCAUCUUUUGCAUCGGCCACCUCAGGGUUUUGAGAAAUUAGUCAAGGAACAUUUCCGCUGCCGCGGAAGGUUUGUGCUCAGGACAUGCAACACGUGGUUGCAAGGAUGUGUUGUCGGUGAUGCCCAUGCAACUGAAUCAAGUAGGGAGCAGCCAUGCUCGGCUGGGUUAAGGCUUGCACUUGCCAAUGUGGUGCCGAGCCUCAUCGCUGCCUUCAUAGAGACUAGAUCGGCAACGCGCCUUGGCGCGAGGAUGCCUAUCCGAACGGCGCGAGGAUGCCUAUCCGAACGUUUUGGUCAAACAUGUAAUGAAGAAUCACCGAAGAACCAGUUGGAAACAAAGAUUGUUCACGUGCACAAAACGGGAAAUCACCUUGGCGCGAGGGUGCCGGUCCAUACGUUUUGGUCAAGCAAGUAA
RNAcentral lists this ribosomal RNA (3111 nucleotides) under Triticum aestivum (bread wheat). Its description in RNAcentral is "partial small subunit ribosomal RNA". Lineage: Eukaryota; Viridiplantae; Streptophyta; Magnoliopsida; Poales; Poaceae. The record is from RNAcentral.